UGUGCUUUUGCCAAAUACAUGUAAGGUCAAUGACUUAGCCAAUGCAGGAUGGAUGGAAAAAGAAGAGGCAGUGUCCACAAGACUGGGAGUAUUGUUCCUGUAAAUGAAUGUAGAAUUAAAUAAAUAAAUAAAUAAAUAAAUAAAUCAUUUCUCUGCUGAACAGCUUUCCCAUAUUUGCAAGCCAAUUGAACAUUUCUUUGUGGUGGGGGUGGCACGCUGGACUUUGUGGAAUCAGCUUCUAGCAUUCAAAGGAGCCACUGGAAAUGAAAGCGUGACUAUACAUCAGCAUGCUGGCACCUUGUUUUAGCUGAUGAAACAACAGUAAACCUCACAGCUUCAAGUGCCUUCCCACGACUGCUGCCUGGACUCUUGUUCCUUUCUGCACUCUCCUGCCCACAGGUGACCCAGAUUCUUUGCACCGCAUUUAAAAACAACCACCUCCAUGCCUAAUAAAGAUUGCAAGUCCUUAAAUGUCA
RNAcentral lists this long non-coding RNA (476 nucleotides) under Anser brachyrhynchus (Pink-footed goose). RNAcentral's name for it is "lncRNA (ENSABRG00000017033.1)". Lineage: Eukaryota; Metazoa; Chordata; Aves; Anseriformes; Anatidae. The record is from RNAcentral.